AGUACUUAUCUUUUAUUGUCGUAAAAACUACCUGUUGUAGGCAUAAAGAAGAAGACGAUCAACGCUUAGUACUGUGACCCUUUUCUUGAGUCGGAAAACCAAGCAAGGGUGUAAGAAGAAAUUGCCUAUAUAAACCACAUUUUUGCAUGUGGACAAUUUUAAAUUAACUGCUGGCAAUGACAACAAAACACAAUUACAAUUAUGAAGAAAUCUUGAAAUGGCAUCCGGAGAUGAUACUUAUUUCAGAAUCGCCUGUCACUUGGCAAGGUUUUCUACUUGUCUCAGAAUUGUAUCCUGCUGGGAAUAUUCGAUGUCUCAGAGUAAAAGUGAAACUAGUUAUGCCCAAUUAUCCAUCAUUUGAUAAGGCACGAAUCAACUUUGAUAAGCAUAUUGCUUUCCUGCGGAACAUAGAAUUCAGCAGAGAAGUGAAGGAGUCAAUGAAGUCUCAAAAAAAAACUGUAUCAUCAUUUUUGUCGCAGUUACAAUUACUUAUUGGUAAAUAUAUACAUACAAGUAGUAAAGUUUGUAUACCGUUUGACUUUGAAUCUACAAGAGACUUUUUGCAUGAUAUAAAAGCAGCUCUUCAGAAUCAGUCUGAUGUGCAAUUGUCAUGCGAUCGAAAUCUGAGUACUAUCAAAUUAUCCUUAAGAGAAAUAUUUCUUACAUUGCAAAGAUGUAAAGAUAUUGAUAUUCCCUGGAAAGUAGUAUCUUCUAACAUGCCUGAAAACUUUGAGAAGAUAGUAUUGAGCAAAAAUUUGAACAUUGUGACGACAAAGUUCAAAUGGCAAGUGGAAAUACUGGAAAGAGCAUGGGAACAAUUGAAAGAAAUUGAUGAGAAUUGUUGGGUAAUUGACCCACCAAAACCAAACAAAAGUCACAUGCACAGACGCAUUCAUUUGUCGCAAUCUAUAUCUGUAACAAUUACAAUAGAUCCCGUUGUUCCUACUGCUGCGCCGACAAUUCAGUUCUCGGGCAGCGAUAACGAGGUGAAAAGACAAAUGGAAGAUGUUUCCAAUAAUAUUCAUAACUGGAAUCCGGAUUGUAAUAUUUUAGAUAAUUUGAGGAUGUUGUUAAAUAUGUACACAUUUCCCGAGCAGCAGGACAGUUUGGACGAUUCGCAAGGUGUUAUCAGUAAUCGUGAAUGUGGUAUAUGCUUCUCUGAAACAUCGGAAACUGAUGAAUUGCCAAAUAAGAUAUGCAAUAACCAUAAGUGCAUGAAACACUUUCAUUCAGUAUGUUUAUCGAAGUGGUUACAAACUAAUGCUGCGAAUCAAGUUGUAUUUAGUCAUAUCUAUGGCAAUUGUCCACAUUGCAAGGAAGACAUUGCUUGUCCCAUUGAAUGUUGAAGGCAAAUAUUAACUUAUUUUUUAUAAUAUUGAGAUUGAAGAUAAUCAGCAACGAGUGCUUUGCUCAAACGACCAGUAUUUAUAUUAAAACCAUGAAGAUUGAAUGUCUUGUCUGAAACAAUAAUUUUAGAAAAGGUACGUGUGCUAUCGAUCUAAAUCCCGCA
Molecule: RNA transcript, 1510 nt
Organism: Trachymyrmex septentrionalis
Lineage: Eukaryota; Metazoa; Arthropoda; Insecta; Hymenoptera; Formicidae
Gene: Fancl
Gene name: E3 ubiquitin-protein ligase FANCL
Exons: 9
Source: RefSeq, a predicted model, not a curated record